CCCACCGCCGUGACCAGCGUGUGCUUCCCAAUGCCAACUCACCUCAUCUCAGGCCGGAGGAUUUGAGUGUAAACGAGACACCGUCCCAGGAAGAGCUCAGAAAAGUGCUUCGGGCGUCAAGGGGUGACUGGAGGACGAAUGAAACUUUAAGGAUGGCAACAGGCACUCCAGCUGCUUACUUCCAGACUCCGGAGCCUCAGUUUCCAGAGGAAGCCGGCACUUGAGCCUCUUCAGGUGCACAAACAGCUUGGGAACACUCCUGGGCAGGCACCUUCUGUCACCUGUGCACCUGAUGCUCCCUGGAGGGUCAAAAUAAGGCAUCAGGUGCCCCAGAGUUGAAGCUGCAAAUGGUUGGAAACUGCCUGAUGUAGAUGCAGGAACAAACUCCAGUGCAAGAGCAGCAAACACUCAAAGGCUGACCCUUCUUCCCAUCCUCCAGAGGGAGCAUUUUCAGAGGAGGACACAGCCCAGCACAGAGGGUUCAAGAGAACGUGAAGGUGAUAUCAGUGAGUUAGAGGGCAACUAUAUUAAAAAGGGGAGUUUGCUUGUCGUUUGCUUGUUUGGGUCAAAGGGAACAGAGAAAUAAGGACACAAGUGGACGGUGCUUGGCACUGUGAUCGGGAUGGGUAACA
This is a long non-coding RNA of Microtus oregoni (creeping vole), 632 nucleotides long. RefSeq lists it as uncharacterized. Lineage: Eukaryota; Metazoa; Chordata; Mammalia; Rodentia; Cricetidae. The transcript has 3 exons. The record is from RefSeq and is a predicted model, not a curated record.